RNAcentral lists this long non-coding RNA (703 nucleotides) under Homo sapiens (human). RNAcentral describes it as "HSALNT0393078". The record is from RNAcentral. Lineage: Eukaryota; Metazoa; Chordata; Mammalia; Primates; Hominidae.
CGGCUGCAGCGUCUUCCCCGCGCUCCCGAGCCUAUCCCUCGGGCGCCGGCCUGGGCUGUCCAGCGAGAGGGGCGGAGGGGCAGGGCCCCGGGCUAGGUCCAGGCCCGCAGCUGGCAUCAGGGGGGGCCUGGGUGGGAAGACCGGUUGGGGUGGGGGUGCACAGACCCGGGGAAUCUGAGACGCAAGGUUUCCGGCUCUUGGCCGCUAGUGAGGAAGGCUCGAGGCCGAUCCUGGCCCAAAGCAGGGCGCCGGGCCAUUGUCAGUCCUGGGAAGGGGGAUUGGGAGGAGCCCCAGAGGGGCGGCCAUUCCCUGGGGCGGCGUGGAAGGGAGGCAGCACCUCCAGGCGACAAGUAGAGCUGGGCCCUGGCGGGCUGCCACGGGGGUGUCUGGCAGUCUCUCCUGGGUCUAGGGCUGUUCCUCUGAGGUCACGAGGUGGUCCUUCGGGUGUGUCUGGGGUAAGCCCCUCUAGAAUCUGGGGGCGGCCUCCCGGGGGCCAUACUGCAUCACGUAGUGGAGUUGGGAAGAUAAAACCAGCACGUGUAAUGUAAUACAUGACAAUGGAAGAUUCUACGUAAUUAAGGGUUAACUCUGAAAUCAGAAGACAAGUUUUCCAAGACUUGGGAAGGUGGAGAGAUCAGAGAUCAGUGAGAGAACAAAGAAUCGGAUGGAGUUUGGCUCUUGUCGCCCAGGCUGGAGUGCAAUG